Molecule: ribosomal RNA, 253 nt
Filed under: uncultured bacterium
Lineage: Bacteria
Description: partial 16S ribosomal RNA
Rfam family: Bacterial small subunit ribosomal RNA
Source: RNAcentral
UACAGGGGGUGCAAACGUUGCUCGGAAUUAUUGGGCGUAAAGAGCUCGUAGGCGGCUUGUCGCGUCGUCCGUGAAAACCUGCGGCUCAACUGCAGGCUGGCGGUCGAUACGGGCAGGCUGGAGUUCGGUAGGGGAGACUGGAAUUCCUGGUGUAGCGGUGAAAUGCGCAGAUAUCAGGAGGAACGCCGGAGGCGAAAGCGAGUGACUGGCGCGUUCCUGACGCUGAGGUGCGAAAGCUAGGGGAGCAAACAGG